This 1691-nucleotide long non-coding RNA is filed under the name Citrus x clementina. RNAcentral's name for it is "Citrus clementina (C. clementina) long non-coding RNA (CCLE_LNC003023)". The record is from RNAcentral. Lineage: Eukaryota; Viridiplantae; Streptophyta; Magnoliopsida; Sapindales; Rutaceae.
GUUAUAUCAAUUUAUACAUAAAUUUUUGUGACUAUGUCAUUACUCAAUAUUAUGAUCGAACGAAUUAUUAUCAUCGAACAAAUAUGAUUGUCUAAUCAACUAGAAAAUGAAAAAUAAAAUUGUUGGUUCUCUAUGAAAUAUUGGGAUAAAUUGAAUUUACCCCUUCAUUUUCUAUAAACCUUAAUGGGCCCCCAAUAUUUCAAUGGUCUACAGCAAUACUAGGGGUGGGCAAAAAAACCGUAGUCUUAAAAAAACCGAACCGAACCGACGGUUUUUUCUAAUUUGGUACGGUUUUUUUUUAAAAAACCGAACGGUACAAUUUAUAAAAAAACCGAAAAACCGAAUUAUUUUUAAAUUUUAUUAAAUUAAAUAUGUGUUAAUUUUUAACCGAUUGUGUAAGAUAGCUAACAUAAACUUGCAUACACACAAUCAGAGUAUAUAUAUAUGUUAGUGUUACAAUUUCGUAAAUUUUUAUUUCCCAAAAUAAACCCUAAAAUCAAAUAUAAAAAAAUUUCGUAAAUUUCGUAAAUUUCAAUUUCUUGAAGAAUUUUUUAGGCUAAUGUAAUCUUAAGAACAACAGCAAGUAGCUGAGGAGUAAAUGAUAGUUGAUUGAUGUUGCUUACCAGUAAGUUUUUUUUUUAUUUUUUUAAACUAGCAUCUUAUUAUAUAGAUUGUUUAUUUAAUUAUUUAUUAAUAGUUAGUAAGAUAUUAUUGAUAAAAUGUGUUUUGAAUACUUUGUAUUUAUUGUUAAUAUUUGUAAUGAAAUUAGGAUGAACUUGUUGAAAAAAAUUAUUACAUUUAUGAAGCCCAAUGGGCUAAAAAUUUGAAAAUUCAAAAUAGGCCCAGAACCGAAAAAACCGAACCGAAUCGAACCGAACCGAAAAGAACCGUUUGAGUUCGGUUCUUUUUGAGUUUGGUUCUUAUUCGGUUCUUUUUAUAAAAUAACCGAUUUAAAUCGGUUCUACUUAAUUUCGAAUCGAACCGAACCGUGCCCACCCCUAAGCGAUACCUCAUUUUGUUACUCCUUAGGUUGGUUGCUAAAAUAGAAAAAUGACAAUUGAGAUUGAUCAAAGAGAAAAUUGCAUAAAGUACGUAUUUUACGAUGUUCUUAUAUGAGCAGUUACAAUAGAGAUAAUUGCAUAAAAUUUUGUAGAAAAUUUUAGCACACUAUCACUGUAAGAUAAAAAAAAAUUACUACAGAAAAAAAUUUCACUAUAAGAUAAUUUCUUUUUUGUAAUUUAUCUUUAUUGUAUAGAUAUCAUUCAAGAUAAGAGUGGCAAUAUGGGUCAAGAUUCGUUUAUUCGAUUCGAUGCGAAUAUGAUAGUUUAAUCAACUAGAAAAUAAAAAGUAAAAUUGUUUAUUCGUUUCUUUUUAUAAUUUUAGCACACUAUCACAAAUAUGAUAGUCUAAUCAACUAGAAAAUGAAAAGUAAAAUGGUUGGUUCUCUAUGAAAUAUUGGGAUAAAUUGAAUUUACCCCUUUAUUUUCUAUAAACCUUAACAAGCCCCCAAUAUUUCACAGGUUUACAGUGAUACCCCAUUCUGUUAGGUGGUGUUUGGUUUAAGGAAAUUAGAGAAAAGGAGAGGAUAUGAAAUGAGAGGAGUAGAGAGGAAAAGAGAGGAGAGGACGAAUGGUUUUCAGAUCCUUUAUUUGGUUUAGUAUAGAAUUCUAAUAAGAAAGAAAUUAAUUAUU